This 220-nucleotide unclassified non-coding RNA is filed under the name plant metagenome. RNAcentral's name for it is "partial contains small subunit ribosomal RNA, internal transcribed spacer 1, and 5.8S ribosomal RNA". The record is from RNAcentral.
UUUCCGUAGGUGAACCUGCGGAAGGAUCAUUACAGAGUUCAUGCCCUCACGGGUAGAUCUCCCACCCUUGAAUAUUUAUACCUUAGUUGCCUUGGCAGGCCGUGGAAACACCAUGGGCUCCGGCUUAUGCGUGCCUGCCAGAGGAAACAAACUCUGUUUUUAGUGAUGUCUGAGUACUAUAUAAUAGUUAAAACUUUCAACAACGAAUCUCUUGGUUCUG